This 334-nucleotide ribosomal RNA is filed under the name Laparocerus chasnensis. RNAcentral's name for it is "partial 12S ribosomal RNA". Lineage: Eukaryota; Metazoa; Arthropoda; Insecta; Coleoptera; Curculionidae. The record is from RNAcentral.
AAUACCCUAUUAUUUUAAAAGUAAUUAUAUUAAAUCUAAUUAGUAAUAGUUAAGUUCUUGAAAAUUAAAGAAUUUGGCGGUAUUUUAGUCUAUUCAGAGGAAUCUGUCCUGUAAUUGAUAAUCCACGAUUUUUUGUACCUAAUUUAUUAGUUUACAUAUCGCCGUAGUUUGAGUAUUUUUUGAAAAUUAUAAUAUUCAUAAUUUAUUUUUAUUAAAAAAAUCAGGUCAAGGUGUAGUUUAUAGUUAGGAAGAGAUGGGUUACAAUAAAAGUAUUUAUUAUGGAUUAAUUAAUUAAAUUUUUUUAUGAAAGUGGAUUUGAAAGUAAUUUUAUCUA